AUUUCAUAUGUGCAUUUCCAUCUGUUUUCAAAUUCAAAUGGUAAAUGGUGACUUUCACCAAAGGAUUAACUAAUGUGGUUUUCUCCAUUUAGUUUUUAAGCGUUCGCAUUCUCGAUGUCGACAUGUCGCAGAGUUACAUCUUGGCCCUUCUCACUUGUGGUUCUACAUCGUGGGUUCUCCAAUCCAGCAUUUCUCCAAGCUUCUCACUCGCAUCUUUGUGGUUUCUUUCUAUUACAGGGAAUAGGGAUGACUCUGGAUCUAUUCCUUCGAUUUAUUUUCUGAUUCAUCAUUGUCCGGGCUUUUCUCCAUAAGAUAGGAUGAGAUUUUUGUGAAGAGCCCUAUACAGUUGACUUACGUUAAUCAAUGUUCGAGUUGAUAUUUCUCAAAAUCUUCAUUUUAAAGGAAGGAUAAUCAUCUUUAAUAUGUGGUGGAAAAGAAAAGGUCUCUCAUAUAUGUUUAUGAUUGGCUUCUAAAGUUCAACAGCCUGUUCCUUGAGAGAAGGUGCAUGAAGAAAGUAUGACCUAUUAAAAUCAUUGCAAAGUUUGAUUUAAACCACCUCGUUAUCCAAUAGUGAGCUUUAUAUGUUGUACUUUUUCCUGUCAGUAUUUACUAUCUCUUUACUUGCAUAACUUUCAUCUAAACUUGUGAUUUUAGUUUCUUAAAUCACUCUUGCCAAAGGUAAAGAGCAGAGACUUAGUCUGUCUUUUGGUGAAAACAACUUUUCGAUCAACAUAUAAUAAACAUUCUUUUCAAGAGCAACUCAUCUCUUCUUUAGCAAUUAAAAUUUCUAAAAUUGUAUGUUGGUAAAAUUUUGCUAGUGCUAUAAGACUCUGGAGGUUUUGGUUUGUUCUACUAUUCUAUUAUUAUUUUAUUUUGAUUUUAGAAUCUUCUUGUUAAUCUUUUACACAGCUCAUGCUUAGUCAGUGCUAUUAUGCACAAAAUAUUCUUGAAUCUUUGACAUUUGACAUGUAUCUGUUGCUGCCUUUAGAGUUUUUAUACAGACCUAUGGAAACCAAUAUGCUUGCAUUGAUGAGCAUAAACUUCUUAUCAAUUGAUCAGUUUUUAAAAAUGGUAGAAAGGCAGCAUCAAGUAUUUUGAUCCAAGUUACCAACAUCAAGCAUUUUGUCCAAAACCUUAACAGUUGAUGUUGACAUGGGAUACAUGGAUGUUCAAACAAUUGAAGAUGUGUUUUGUCAAGUAUGAUCAAUUAUUUCGUCACCUGUAUAUGGACUUUUUUUUUUACUAUGCUUUGCCCUACAAAUGUGUUUAUAACAAUAUAUUCCUAUUUUUAUCAGUAUUACCCAUGUGCCUUCUUUAUAGAUGACAAUAAUGCAAAUGCUUGGAAAAACUGUUCCUAUACUGCUCAUACUAACUCAAAUAUCAGCAGAGGGGGUAGUAGCUGCAUCAUCUGGUUGGGAGAUCUAAAUGAUACAAGACAGGUUUUAGUUGCUGGGCAACAUCUAUAUAUAUUCUGUUGGCUAUUCCUGAAAUAUGUAUGAUCCUUCAUUGAUCAUAUGCUGAUUAUCUUUUAGAAGUCAAUUGUUUGUCUAAUUGUCUUCUCUAUUGUGUUGAACUCAAAUUUUCCAUUACCUGAUGAUAUGUUUGUAUUAGAUUUAAGUUUCAAAGUUUAAUAUUGCUUAUUAGAUUUUACAUCAAUUUUCUUGGUUUUUUUAAAACUUAAUUUACUAAUUGGUGAUUUCCAUCUCGGACAAUAGCUUAGAGUGCUGCACUAUUUA
This is a long non-coding RNA of Prosopis cineraria, 1736 nucleotides long. RefSeq lists it as uncharacterized. The record is from RefSeq and is a predicted model, not a curated record. NCBI's taxonomy places the organism in Eukaryota, Viridiplantae, Streptophyta, Magnoliopsida, Fabales, Fabaceae. The transcript has 3 exons.